RNAcentral lists this ribosomal RNA (507 nucleotides) under uncultured bacterium. RNAcentral's name for it is "bacterial SSU rRNA". It matches the Rfam family "Bacterial small subunit ribosomal RNA", at positions 30 to 526 of the family's 1533-position model. The record is from RNAcentral.
AUUGAACGCUGGCGGCACGCCUAACACAUGCAAGUCGAGCGGUAACGGUCCUAGUAGCAAUACUAGGAGCUGACGAGCGGCGGACGGGUGAGUAAUACGUAGGAACCUGCCCUUAAGCGGGGGACAACCAAGGGAAACUUUGGCUAAUACCGCAUACACUCGAGAGAGGAAAGGUGCCCGUAAGGGUAUCACUUGAGGAGGGGCCUGCGUCCGAUUAGCUAGUUGGUGAGGUAAGAGCUCACCAAGGCGAUGAUCGGUAACUGGUCUGAGAGGACGGCCAGUCACACUGGGACUGAGACACGGCCCAGACUCCUACGGGAGGCAGCAGUGGGGAAUAUUGGACAAUGGGGGCAACCCUGAUCCAGCGAUGCCGCGUGAGUGAAGAAGGCCUUCGGGUCGUAAAGCUCUUUAGGUUGGGAAGAAGUUUGCUACAUAAAUAAUGUAGUAGAUUGACGGUACCGACAGAAUAAGCACCGGCAAACUCUGUGCCAGCAGCCGCAGUAAUAC